Non-coding RNA from Pelobates cultripes (western spadefoot toad), 464 nucleotides. The record is from the annotation of a GenBank genome assembly. Lineage: Eukaryota; Metazoa; Chordata; Amphibia; Anura; Pelobatidae.
CUGCAGGCCAUCUGGCAAGGCCCAUACCAGGUGGUGGAACAGAGAUGUGACACCACCUAUGUGAUUGGCCCCUGCUCAGGGACAGGGAAGAGACGCAUGCUCCACGUGAAUAUGCUCAAACCCUACCAUGAGAGGAUAGAGGAUGUGGCGGCGAUAUGCGCUUCAGCCUCUGAGGAUCAGGAGAAUCUUCCGCUACCUGACUUAUUAGAGCGGGAAGAUCAGGCAGAGGCCUCUACAGGUGUUCAGCUGGGGGAGCGGCUAAGUCCUCAGGAGCAUGCCCAGGUACAGGAGUUAAUCAUGGCUAAGGGAGCCACUUUCUCCAAUUUACCAGGGUACAACCCGCUAGCUACUCACCGAGUUGAGACCCCCGGACAGCUACCUAUGCGGCAGACCCCAUACCGUAUCCCGGAAGCGGUCAGGGAACAUAUGAGGAAGGAAAUUGAGGAAAUGUUGCAGCUAGGGGU